ACAUCCAGCGAACUUGGCAGAGAUGCCUUGGUGCCUUCGGGAACGCUGAGACAGGUGCUGCAUGGCUGUCGUCAGCUCGUGUUGUGAAAUGUUGGUUAAGUCCCGCAACGAGCGCAACCCUUUAUCCUUUGUUGCCAGCGAUUCGGUCGGGAACUCAAAGGAGACUGCCGGUGAUAAACCGGAGGAAGGUGGGGAUGACGUCAAGUCAUCAUGGCCCUUACGAGUAGGGCUACACACGUGCUACAAUGGCGCAUACAAAGAGAAGCGACCUCGCGAGAGCAAGCGGACCUCAUAAAGUGCGUCGUAGUCCGGAUCGGAGUCUGCAACUCGACUCCGUGAAGUCGGAAUCGCUAGUAAUCGUGGAUCAGAAUGCCACGGUGAAUACGUUCCCGGGCCUUGUACACACCGCCCGUCACACCAUGGGAGUGGGUUGCAAAAGAAGUAGGUAGCUUAACCCUCGGGAGGGCGCUUACCACUUUGUGAUUCAUGACUGGGGUGAAGUCGUAACAAGGUAAGCGUAGCGAG
This 525-nucleotide ribosomal RNA is filed under the name uncultured bacterium. RNAcentral describes it as "bacterial SSU rRNA". It matches the Rfam family "Bacterial small subunit ribosomal RNA", at positions 984 to 1509 of the family's 1533-position model. The record is from RNAcentral.